RNAcentral lists this ribosomal RNA (378 nucleotides) under Enterobacter sp. JC28. RNAcentral describes it as "bacterial SSU rRNA". It matches the Rfam family "Bacterial small subunit ribosomal RNA", at positions 1000 to 1378 of the family's 1533-position model. Lineage: Bacteria; Pseudomonadati; Pseudomonadota; Gammaproteobacteria; Enterobacterales; Enterobacteriaceae. The record is from RNAcentral.
GCAGAGAUGCUUUGGUGCCUUCGGGAACUCUGAGACAGGUGCUGCAUGGCUGUCGUCAGCUCGUGUUGUGAAAUGUUGGGUUAAGUCCCGCAACGAGCGCAACCCUUAUCCUUUGUUGCCAGCGGUCCGGCCGGGAACUCAAAGGAGACUGCCAGUGAUAAACUGGAGGAAGGUGGGGAUGACGUCAAGUCAUCAUGGCCCUUACGAGUAGGGCUACACACGUGCUACAAUGGCGCAUACAAAGAGAAGCGACCUCGCGAGAGCAAGCGGACCUCAUAAAGUGCGUCGUAGUCCGGAUUGGAGUCUGCAACUCGACUCCAUGAAGUCGGAAUCGCUAGUAAUCGUAGAUCAGAAUGCUACGGUGAAUACGUUCCCGGG